CUACGGGGCGCUGCAGUGGGGAAUAUUGCACAAUGGAGGAAACUCUGAUGCAGCAACGCCGCGUGGAGGAUGACACUUUUCGGAGCGUAAACUCCUUUUAUAUAGGAAGAAGAUGACGGUACUAUAUGAAUAAGCGCCGGCUAACUCCGUGCCAGCAGCCGCGGUAAUACGGAGGGCGCAAGCGUUACUCGGAAUCACUGGGCGUAAAGAGCGUGUAGGCGGAUUAAAAAGUCAGAAGUGAAAUCCUAUAGCUUAACUAUAGAACUGCUUCUGAAACUCUUAAUCUAGAAUGUGGGAGAGGUAGAUGGAAUUUCUAGUGUAGGGGUAAAAUCCGUAGAGAUCAGAAGGAAUACCGAUUGCGAAGGCGAUCUACUAGAACAUUACUGACGCUAAGGCGUGAAAGCGUGGGGAGCAAACAGGAUUAGAUACCCCGGUAGUC
This 439-nucleotide ribosomal RNA is filed under the name uncultured bacterium. RNAcentral describes it as "partial 16S ribosomal RNA". It matches the Rfam family "Bacterial small subunit ribosomal RNA", at positions 339 to 795 of the family's 1533-position model. The record is from RNAcentral.